UGCGUAGGCGGGCUAAUAAGUCAGUGGUGAAAUCUUCCGGCUCAACCGGGAACCUGCCAUUGAUACUGUUUAUCUUGAGUUCGGCAGAGGUAGGCGGAAUGUGUAAUGUAGCGGUGAAAUGCUUAGAUAUUACACAGAACACCAAUUGCGUAGGCAGCUUACUAUACCGACACUGACGCUGAGGCACGAAAGCGUGGGGAGCGAACAGGAUUAGAUACCCUGGUAGUCC
RNAcentral lists this ribosomal RNA (229 nucleotides) under uncultured bacterium. RNAcentral describes it as "partial 16S ribosomal RNA". It matches the Rfam family "Bacterial small subunit ribosomal RNA", at positions 568 to 796 of the family's 1533-position model. The record is from RNAcentral.